UACAGAGGGGGCAAGCGUUAUUCGGAAUUAUUGGGCGUAAAGGGCGCGUAGGCGGCUUUGCAAGUGACGGGUGAAAGCCCUCGGCUUAACCGAGGAACUGCCUGUCAGACUGUAAGGCUUGAGACCGGGAGAGGUGAGUGGAAUUCCCAGUGUAGCGGUGAAAUGCGUAGAUAUUGGGAGGAACACCAGUGGCGAAGGCGGCUCACUGGACCGGAACUGACGCUGAGACGCGAAAGCGUGGGGAGCAAACAGG
RNAcentral lists this ribosomal RNA (253 nucleotides) under uncultured bacterium. RNAcentral describes it as "partial 16S ribosomal RNA". It matches the Rfam family "Bacterial small subunit ribosomal RNA", at positions 524 to 776 of the family's 1533-position model. The record is from RNAcentral.